CCUACGGGAGGCAGCAGUAGGGAAUCUUUCACAAUGGGCGAAAGCCUGAUGGAGCAACGCCGCGUGCAGGAUGAAGGCCUUCGGGUUGUAAACUGCUUUUAUAAGCGAGAAAUAUGAUGGUAACUUAUGAAUAAGGAUCGGCUAACUACGUGCCAGCAGCCGCGGUCAUACGUAGGAUCCGAGCAUUAUCCGGAGUGACUGGGUGUAAAGAGUUGCGUAGGUGGCAUAAUAAGUAGCUAGUGAAAUCUGGUGGCUCAACCAUUCAGACUAUUAGCUAAACUGUUAAGCUCGAGACCGGUAGGGGUAAGUGGAAUUUCUAGUGUAGGAGUGAAAUCCGUAGAUAUUAGAAGGAACACCAAUAGCGUAGGCAGGUUGCUGGGACGGUUCUGACACUAAGGCACGAAAGCGUAGGGAGCAAACGGGAUUAGAUACCCCAGUAGUC
This 442-nucleotide ribosomal RNA is filed under the name uncultured bacterium. RNAcentral's name for it is "partial 16S ribosomal RNA". It matches the Rfam family "Bacterial small subunit ribosomal RNA", at positions 338 to 795 of the family's 1533-position model. The record is from RNAcentral.